UGGGUAAUAUUGCACAAUCGGCGCAAGCCUGAUGCAGCCAUGCGGCGUGUAUGAAGAAGGCCUUCGGGUUGUAAAGUACUUUCAGCGGGGAGGAAGGGAGUAAAGUUAAUACCUUUGCUUCUUGACGUUACCCGCAGAAGAAGCACCGGCUAACUCCGUGCCAGCAGCCGCGGUAAUACGGAGGGUGAAAGCGUUAAUCGGAAUUACUGGGCGUAAAGCGCACGCAGGCGGUCGAUUGAGUCAGAUGUGAAAUCCCCGGGCUUAACCCGGGAAUUGCAUCUGAUACUGGUCGGCUAGAGUAUUGUAGAAGGGGGUAGAAUUCCAUGUGUAGCGGUGGAAUGCGUAGAGAUGUGGGGGAAUACCGGUGGCGAAGGCGGCCCCCUAGACAAAGACUGACGCUCAGGUGCGAAAGCGUGGGGAGCAAACAGG
RNAcentral lists this ribosomal RNA (429 nucleotides) under Chloroflexota bacterium. Its description in RNAcentral is "Chloroflexi bacterium partial 16S ribosomal RNA". It matches the Rfam family "Bacterial small subunit ribosomal RNA", at positions 355 to 776 of the family's 1533-position model. The record is from RNAcentral. Lineage: Bacteria; Bacillati; Chloroflexota.